CCUACGGGUGGCAGCAGUGGGGAAUAUUGGACAAUGGGGGGAACCCUGAUCCAGCCAUGCCGCGUGUGUGAAGAAGGCCCUCGGGUUGUAAAGCACUUUCAGUGAGGAAGAACGCCUGGUGGUUAAUACCCAUCAGGAAAGACAUCACUCACAGAAGAAGCACCGGCUAACUCCGUGCCAGCAGCCGCGGUAAUACGGAGGGUGCGAGCGUUAAUCGGAAUUACUGCGCGUAAAGCGCGCGUAGGUGGCUUGAUAAGCCGGUUGUGAAAGCCCCGGGCUCAACCUGGGAACGGCAUCCGGAACUGUCAAGCUAGAGUGCAGGAGAGGAAGGUAGAAUUCCCGGUGUAGCGGUGAAAUGCGUAGAGAUCGUGAGGAAUACCAGUGGCGAAGGCGGCCUUCUGGACUGACACUGACACUGAGGUGCGAAAGCGUGGGUAGCAAACAGGAUUAGAUACCCUUGUAGUC
This 465-nucleotide ribosomal RNA is filed under the name Vreelandella stevensii. RNAcentral's name for it is "partial 16S ribosomal RNA". It matches the Rfam family "Bacterial small subunit ribosomal RNA", at positions 338 to 795 of the family's 1533-position model. Lineage: Bacteria; Pseudomonadati; Pseudomonadota; Gammaproteobacteria; Oceanospirillales; Halomonadaceae. The record is from RNAcentral.